RNAcentral lists this ribosomal RNA (253 nucleotides) under uncultured bacterium. Its description in RNAcentral is "partial 16S ribosomal RNA". It matches the Rfam family "Bacterial small subunit ribosomal RNA", at positions 524 to 776 of the family's 1533-position model. The record is from RNAcentral.
UACGUAGGUGGCAAGCGUUGUCCGGAAUUAUUGGGCGUAAAGAGCUCGUAGGCGGUCUGUUGCGUCCGCUGUGAAAUCUCGGAGCUUAACUCCGAAACUGCAUUCGAUACUGCCGUGCUUGAGGACUGGAGAGGAGACUGGAAUUUACGGUGUAGCGGUGAAAUGCGUAGAUAUCGUAAGGAAGACCAGUGGCGAAGGCGGGUCUCUGGACAGUUCCUGACGCUGAGGCACGAAGGUCAGGGGAGCAAACGGG